RNAcentral lists this transfer RNA (74 nucleotides) under Daphnia galeata. It matches the Rfam family "tRNA". Rfam says of the family: Transfer RNA (tRNA) molecules are approximately 80 nucleotides in length. Their secondary structure includes four short double-helical elements and three loops (D, anti-codon, and T loops). Lineage: Eukaryota; Metazoa; Arthropoda; Branchiopoda; Diplostraca; Daphniidae. The record is from Rfam by way of RNAcentral.
GGCUCGGUAGCUUAAUGGUCAAAGGUGCGUGUGUAGUAUAGCAGAAGAUGAGGGUUCAAAACCCACCUGAGCCA